RNAcentral lists this ribosomal RNA (132 nucleotides) under Pseudoalteromonas arctica. RNAcentral describes it as "partial 23S ribosomal RNA". The stretch from base 1 to 114 matches the Rfam family "Bacterial large subunit ribosomal RNA", at positions 2815 to 2925 of the family's 2925-position model. Lineage: Bacteria; Pseudomonadati; Pseudomonadota; Gammaproteobacteria; Alteromonadales; Pseudoalteromonadaceae. The record is from RNAcentral.
AGACUUUUAAAGUCUCUGAAGGGCCGUUGAAGACUACAACGUUGAUAGGCAAGAUGUGGAAGUGGUGUGAGCCAUUAAGCUAACUUGUACUAAUUACCCGUGAGGCUUAACCAUACAACGCCAAACGCGUUU